CGUCGAUCAACAGUUGCGACUACAAUAAUUUAUUAUUUAUAUAUUAAGUGUGUUAUUCUGAAGUGAACAAAAAUUAUUCGAAGUGCGUUACAGAUUCAAUCAUUAUUUACCAGUUAGCUGCAUAAAGGAAGACCAAUUUAUCCUGAAACAUUGAUUGACCCAGUUCCGGAUGUCAUCAUAUCCGACCACAAACCGCUGCACGACUUAGGAACUGGGCCAUGUCCGGAAAAAAAAAAUCCUCCUGGAUCGAAUUCUUAGCGUAGGUAAAAUCUUUGCCCAGAAUACCCGUCCUUGAGGAUUUAGUGGAGCGAUAACGGAGGGCAAUGUGAAUAAAAAGAACUCUUUU
Long non-coding RNA from Gigantopelta aegis, 346 nucleotides. RefSeq lists it as uncharacterized. The transcript is spliced from 3 exons. NCBI's taxonomy places the organism in Eukaryota, Metazoa, Mollusca, Gastropoda, Neomphalida, Peltospiridae. The record is from RefSeq and is a predicted model, not a curated record.